Molecule: non-coding RNA, 220 nt
Filed under: Mesorhizobium escarrei
Lineage: Bacteria; Pseudomonadati; Pseudomonadota; Alphaproteobacteria; Hyphomicrobiales; Phyllobacteriaceae
Source: RNAcentral
GAAGUCCCGCCCGGGUAAGCACUAGCCAUGCGCCCGGUAGCGAGUCUUGGGUCCGCCGCCGGUAACGGAGCGGGCUAAGCGUAGAUAGCAAGCGAACGGGGUCUGUAUUGAGCCACGUAAUGGGUUGGUCGCGGUCGCCGAGGCUGUUCAUCCUGCCGAAGGCAACACCGAGCGCUGCGCAACUGGCGAGCAGCGCGCGGGCCGCCGGGGUCGGAGACCA